RNAcentral lists this long non-coding RNA (237 nucleotides) under Lathyrus oleraceus (garden pea). RNAcentral's name for it is "Pisum sativum (pea) long non-coding RNA (PSAT_LNC018576)". The record is from RNAcentral. Lineage: Eukaryota; Viridiplantae; Streptophyta; Magnoliopsida; Fabales; Fabaceae.
UUUUUCACUACUAAUGUGAGAAGGGAACUUUCGGGUUGAAGCAUGAUCCUUCAUCAUUGAAGUUAGCCAAGGCUUACCGUCUAAGACGAGUAUGCACACUUGCAUGAACACCGAAGAAAAUCAUGAGCAAUAAACGAUACUUCAAAGUUCGGUAUUCCAUCAAACUUCAACCAAACAUUUUGAACAUAAUAAAUCUGCAGCAAAAUUCCUAAACUCUCUAACCUGCACAAACCAAAA